GACGAACGCUGGCGGCGUGCUUAACACAUGCAAGUCGAACGGAAAGGCCCUGCUUUUGUGGGGUGCUCGAGUGGCGAACGGGUGAGUAACACGUGAGUAACCUGCCCUUGACUUUGGGAUAACUUCAGGAAACUGGGGCUAAUACCGGAUAGGAGCUCCUGCUGCAUGGUGGGGGUUGGAAAGUUUCGGCGGUUGGGGAUGGACUCGCGGCUUAUCAGCUUGUUGGUGGGGUAGUGGCUUACCAAGGCUUUGACGGGUAGCCGGCCUGAGAGGGUGACCGGCCACAUUGGGACUGAGAUACGGCCCAGACUCCUACGGGGUGCAGCAGUGGGGAAUAUUGCACAAUGGGCGGAAGCCUGAUGCAGCAACGCCGCGUGCGGGAUGACGGCCUUCGGGUUGUAAACCGCUUUCGCCUGUGACGAAGCGUGAGUGACGGUAAUGGGUAAAGAAGCACCGGCUAACUACGUG
This 468-nucleotide ribosomal RNA is filed under the name uncultured bacterium. RNAcentral's name for it is "partial 16S ribosomal RNA". It matches the Rfam family "Bacterial small subunit ribosomal RNA", at positions 28 to 507 of the family's 1533-position model. The record is from RNAcentral.